GCGUCACCGGGAGGUACGCUUAACAAGCGACCACUCCGGCUAGGCUAAAGCCUCUGCUUUGCAAACCGCGUGGGGCUUCUUUUGAGCUGUGAGCCGUAGGCGUCCAGAGAGAGAGAGAGAGAGAGAGAGAGAGAAGGUGGGAUAGGGAAGAAGGAUGGAAUUAAAGUGCAUUUAAGAAAGGAGGGUGGGUUGGAUGGUGGCUUCGUUGGAAUGGUUUUGGAUUCUCUCUCUCUCUCUCUCUCUCUCUCAUCCGUUCACUCCCAAUUAAGUUUGCCACUCAUCUUUCUUUUUUCUUUUUUCUUAAUAUUUAUUUAGUUAGGCAAAUAUAUAUAUAUAUAUAUAUAUAUAUAUAUAUAUCUUCAAAAUUGAUAUUUUUCAUAUUUUUCAGUCUAUAUUUAUAUAUCUUCCUUGCAAAACCUAAAGAAAUUCAUGUAUAAUUAAUCUUUGUUCACCAUGUCACCUUUAAUAUAAGUCCUAGUUAUUUUAGUACCCGGUAAAUAUAUUAUGAUUGUAGGAUAUACUAAAUAAUUAUAAUUAAUGGUGGUUGAUGAAGGAUGUGAAGGAGAGGAAUUUAUUUUUGAAGACCUUCAUUUACUUUUUGGAGGGACAUAAGAUUUAUAAUAAAUUUUGUAGGGAUAAAUAUAUUAUUUUCAAUUACAUUUGGCUCAAGAAUUGAUGGGUUUGGUUUUGAGUUCCUUCACCGACGGUGACCGGACUCCAGUGAUAGGCAUCCCAACUCUAGUGGAUAGUCAUCGGCCUAAAUAAUAAUAAGAAUAAUAAUAAUAAUAAUAAAUAUAAAACCGUUGACUUUGGGAAGUGAUAAGAUCGCGUUUACCCGAUGGUGGAGGUAAAACGCCUGUCGUCGACAAAAGUCAACCUGAGUGGUCCAACCGCGAGGUAUGGGGUUUGCCACCCAAAAGCAUUACUCGUAUUACUUGUAUUUUACUGGCACGUCAGUAUUAAUUCUUAUAAUAUAAGCAUAAAAAGUGAGAAAUUAAGAAACAAUUUCUAAUCUUGUUUCCAAUUUCAUCAUAUCAUCUGAUGAUUAAGAUUCAUAAUCAAACAUUUCCAAGUUAGGAGAGCACUGCCAAACAAUGCAAAGUACAAUAACGUCAGAUUCCCAUCAUAUUGAUGUCACAUUUGACGAACCUUACUUCAUUUUCACAUGGAUUUUAUAUAUAGAUUUAUAGAGUUGGACAUUUACUAAAGAAUAGAGAGAACAGUUUUCAGCUUCUAGAGUUCAUCAUUCCACCAGUAAUGGUUAAAAAAAUUGCAGAUUAUCAAUGAAAAUGAUCUGAAAUAUCACAAAAAGAAAAUGAUCUAAGGCAACAGUUCUUUUUUUCUUCUCCUUCUGAAUUCAUUAAUCUUCACAUCAGAAUAAAACAUGACAGAUUAAGAGUAAGAAAGAUAAUAAGAGACUUGGUUUUUAACUAAGUGAGAUGUGAAUUUUCCUUAUGGGUAAAAGAGAGAGUCUUCCAACCAUACACAGAUCAUUCUCCAGCAGAAGGAAUGAAGCAACUCAUUCAUUCAUUCAUGGAAAAGAAGUCCAAGUUUCUGUCAGCAAUAUCAUUCUCAUUUGUAAGCCGGAUAGUGAAAUCAAAGAAAACAGGGUAUUCUUAGAGAGCGAUGGCUGCUUCAAGACAAAUUGGUCGGUUUGGAUUUGUCACACAAGCAUCUGAAAGAGCAGUUGCAAUCAUCAGUAGUUUAGGCUGGUAGAGAAGAUAAGAUGGGCCUUUUCUUCAAAGAUUAGAUACAAGGAAAAGAGAGCUUCCUGUGUCUGGAAAUUGUCAUUCAGUAACCAAUGUGAAGAUAUCCCCCAUAAAGUGUUUGACCAAUAAGCUUAUGGGGAAUUGGUCUAGUGCUGGACUGUUCAAGGAUGUAGAGAGUGCUCCAACUUGUCACUGAUGACGAAACUAAACUUGCUUGUUGAUCUCAGAGUUCAUAUCUGAUAUCUUCAAGGAAAAAAUCAUUCUUCAAAUAGAGAAAAGAACAUUGUUUUCUAGAUCUGCAAGAAAUCUCUAUUUGUAACAGGCAUUUCUUUCUUCUCAGCGUGUAGGCAGGCUCAUGUCCCUUGUCUUGGAUUAUAUAAUAUCAUCACUCUCCCUUCACAUACACAAACACAUGGAAAAUUUCAUGACUCUACUUAAAGGAUAUUGCAGGAAGGAGAAAUUAAGCUCUGAUUUCAAGAGUUCUUCUCACUGGCCAAUGUUGAGAGAAUCAUGGGCUUCGCAUUGUUUAUCUCCUUUGAAUUUGUGAGACUGUUAGAGCUGUGGUUGCUAUCUUAUUGUUGGCACAAAAUUUGGGUUAUCUGACUCUUUUUUGGAAGUAGAAGUAGCAAUGAUCCUCUACCUAGGUUGAAUUACUCAUGUCAGAUACCUGAAACAACUCAAAGUUUCAGUCAUGGAACCUCUCCAAGAUGAAGAGGGACAGUAACCACUGGCCAAGCCAACUUCUGUAACUUGUUAUUCUAACAAGGACCAGCAUAUUAGAGCUGUUUCUUCACUGAUGAAGCAGCACCUGCAGCAUCCUUUGCAGUACUUGUCUGCAUGUGUAUUCCCUGAUAGCACGCAGCUGCUCACUGUGGAGAUGUUCAUAGCUGAUAAAUCUUACUGAAACUUGUUAUACUUGUUAUGGUGGAAAUCAAGGAAGAACUCCUGAUGCAUCAUACUGUUUUGAUAGAAAUGAAUCCAACAACAUGUAUGAUCUGUGAUAUAACUGCUGAAAUCCAGUGAACCAGAAGAAAAAUAGCACUUCAGUGAUUAAGUUCUGCAAUCCCCUGAGAUCUGCCGAGUUCAAACCUAGAGAGGAUCGAUCUAUAAGGUGUCUACCAUGACUAGUCUUUUGAGUUAGCUCAUCAUAACACACUGUAGUUAGCUAGCUGCACACUGCAAUCUAAUCUUCUCGAUCCUCGUGUCGAUUUGCGUCUCCAAAAUGAUGGGAUUUUGGGAAUCAUUAGUCCUAAGAACAGAAUUCAAGGAUGUAAAUGAUGAGACUUUGAUCACUACAAGGUGCUGAACUCACUUGGAUCGGAGGAAGACAGGAGGCGCACUCAUGAGACCGAUGGCUCGGCGGUGCUGGGGCGGAGAAGGGCAAGUCUCUUGCGGUCAUUGGAGGACCGGGAGGCGGAACCGAAGGAGGUGGCCUCGUCGUUUGCCGCCGCGGGGGUCAAUGCGCGAUAGGUCGCCUCCUGUCAUCCAUUCGUGCAUUAUUCUUCCCUUUUGUGCAAAUGAUGUGACAUGAUGGAAGAUUCGGGAUGGGUGACUCGAUAUCAGCAGCAGAUUUAGGGUUCAGAUUCAUAUUUGCUCUUUAAAAGCGGAAAUUUUAUGGGAAGAUUGCAGUUUUUGGCAAUCAAAAUUCAAAAACCUUGCUCUUUUUUCGUAGGUUUGAAGCUAGAAGACACAAUUUAAUCGAGAGAAUUAGUAUCUUUCUUCAAGGCUAUCGAUUAAGAUGGGGAAAGGAUCAAACUUUUGUCUGAAUUGAAGGCCAAAUAGUGGACGAAAUUAGACAUGAUGCAGAUCACAGAUUUAGAUAUUGAGGAAUGGAUGUUCUUGAAUCAUGUUGUCUAAAUCGCAGAGAGAGGUGGAAGACGACUGAUUUACCUGUGAGACGCCGAGAUCGACAUUCUCCCGCAUCCGCUUCAAGAAGCCACCGCCAUUCCCCAUCCGACCCGACUCCUCGCCGCUCGACGAGCUGGCCACAGGGGGCGGCGUCAUCGACCACGGCACCACCUGGUUCUCCCCCUCGUCGUCGUCGUCGUCCCCCUCGUCCUCGUCCGCGUCCGCAUCCUCCUCUCCCUCGUCUCCAUCGUCCUCUUCGUCAUCGUCCUCAACCACCUCCCGUUCUUCCCCUUUCCCCUCUCCCCCCUCGUCGUCAACGCCGGAUCCUUUCCCCUGGCCUCCGUCGCCGUCCUCCGCGCCAUCGGCAGCGGCACACCGCUCGCAGACGGUGACGGUGGGGCCCAGCCUGGCACCUUCCGCCCGCCAUGGCGUGGGCGACUGGCAGCUCCGGCAGAGGAGGCAUCUGGUGUGGCGUGCCACCAGGAAAUUGGCGCCGUGUACCCUGGCAUCGCACUCCCAGCACAGGCUCGCCUGGUCCGACUCACACAGCAUCCUCGCCGGCCGAUCGCACAGCUCGCACUGCUUCACCCCCAUCCCUCCCCUUCUCGAUAGAUCUCCUCUCGGUCCCACCUGCGCCUUCAAUUCGUUUCUCCUCUUCCUCGGUUCUUUCUCCUCCGCUUCCUUCUGCCGGUCUUAUUAUUUCAGUGAGUCAAAAAAGAACCGAAAUUACUGAUAAAGACUUCACGUGUCACUUUAUUUGAUCGCCUUGGAGAUCCGCUCACCGGUAGACUUACUUGCGGCCGCUCUCGACACCCCUACCACUAUAAAUUAGAUUUUGGAACUCGAUUCAUCGCCAUGGCAGGCGGUGACCUGAUUCACAAUGGAACACGCACCGGGGUAACUUCGUCAUUUAAACUCCACGGGGAACCGAUCACGGCCGUCAUCCUUCGGUUAUUACUCCACGCACGAAUCAGGGCGCAUCAGCGUGGCGCCCGCCGUCGCCCCUGCCCACGUGAUUCAGGACCGCGCCUCCUAUACCUGACCGUCCCUUGGGUCCUUUGUUCGCUGCUCCACGUGGAGACAUCUGAGUCACCAUGCGAGGUCCGCUCCUGUUCAGACUUGGGGGAUCAGGUGCGCUCCGCCGACGCGCGCGCUUACCGCUUACCGCUUACCGCCAUCUCCAAAGCCGCCUGUUUCAGCCCACAGAAUUGCCUUUUGUUCAAAGCCGGUGGUAUCCCACAGAAACGGACGGCGGAUAUUUGCCGAGGCACGGACGCCUAUCUCCAGCCACGAAUCGAAGAUGCGAUCCUCCGAAGAUCCGAUCCUGUCACACGUGUCGGUCCGCCCUCCUCGGUUCCCUCCGCCGUCCGAUCGUAAUCGGAGGGCGCGUGGGGAAAGAUGUGGCGUCGGAAGUACGGCGACGAUGGCGAUGGCGACGGCGACGGCGAUGAGCUCUUGUUGUGACACGAAAGCAUGGGCGUGCGGAGUGAGUACAAAGAGAUGAAUGGGACGGACGGAGGGCUGAGGAGGAGGGUGAAGGCACGGCUUUGAACCUGGACUGGGAAGAAUACCUGGCUGUGGAUGGCUCAGAAUAAAGAUGACGGCGACGGCGCUGAGGAGGUAUGUCUUCCGCCGGGGUGUUCCAUCUGCAUCAGUACCUGCCUCACCCUAAUCUCAUCAUAAAUCACGUGGUCUUCAUCAGGGAAGAGAAAAGAAGGAGCAUUUUUAGUUUGUGUUGUGUGUGGUUGUCUGCGAUUUCAGAGAACGUCUCUCCGUGACUGUGCGAUGGUCUUCGAUAGGCAUUAUUACAGGUCGAUGUUGACUUCUUCAAAACCUUGGUUGAGAUUCACCUGAAGAAUGAAUCCGGUGGCAUGGAAUUGAUUCCUUUGUGAGCCAUGAACAUAUAUUGGCAAGGAGAAAAGCCCACGGAAUCGAUCCACAUGGAUGGGAAUGCUCAAUAGCAGCAAGUUGAACAUUUCACGAAUGGCUAAGCAGGAUCUGACUCUAUCUAGUUCUAUCCAUUUGCUCGUAUGACGAACAACAUUGCAUUGAUUGCAGAGUAAUUCUAGCAAGAAACAAACAACUUGUUAUCAUGUAUGAUUGGUGCAGAUGGAGUGUGGAGAACUUGUCUGUUGCAACUCCUAAGUGGAUGAGGAGGAUGAAGACGCUUCAGGUUCAUGUUACCUCCUCGAGGUAGGAGAGACACCAGGCUGUUGCUGCAACAUCCCUAGCAGAGUGCCAUACACCCAAAGAUCUCCUUCUUCUUUUGGCACACAUCCUAUUCCGGGCAGUGUUUGGGGCGGGGUUGUUCCACACGAUUUUGUUUGAUUCCUUGGUUGCAUGGAAAUUGCCAGAACCAUGAAGUUGACUUGAAUUUUCUUCGUCCACGACACGCGCAAAUUAAUGUCAUGGAGGUCAAAGUCUCUACUCUUCUACCUCUCGACGUUAUCAUUCAUUCAGGCUCUUUCUUCGUUACUCACAAACAGAUCUCAUCUCAUUGGGAGACAGUGACGGAUGCAGCAUUGUCAAUAUCGUAGUCUACAAGUUUGAAGCUGCUGAUGGGUCAUCAAAUGCCUUUCUUAUGCCAAAGUCAUUCCGUUCAUGGCAGUAUUUUACAGCCAUCCAUAUUGACUGCAAACAGAGAAAGACUGUAAUUGUUCGAGUGUUUAUAAGGGUCGUCUUGGUUGGAGGAGGACAAAUCGAGUGAGAGGGAUAUCUUCUUCAGCCUCUGCUAGGAAUUCAACGAGAUGUCCCUCUGCACAUACUUGUUGAUCAAGUUCUUGAAGAAACGAAUAGGUAACUCCAUCUACACUGCCACUUUGCAAGGUCACGCAAGAGGCCUUUCCUUGUUGAUAUCAGACUGAUUUGUUCUGUGACAGCAAGAAGAAGAGCUGAAGAAGCAAGCAUCGAUGGUGUGCCAACACCACUAGAUCUUCCUUCACCUUCGGUUUCGCUUGAGAACGAGAUAGUGUCUGGAGAAGGACUAGUCUCCGCUUUAUAUGAUCUGAACACAAUUUUGGCAGCAACAGGGAUCUUCAGCAAUGAAAACAAACUCGGAGAAGGAGGGUACGGUCCAGUCUACAAGGUAAUUCCUCUUCUCUCGAUGAUAACUCGAUUUGAGCUUGAUCAUGACACAAGGGGUGCCAUGGCUGACCAGGGGAAGCUCCACGAUGGCCAAGAGAUAGCAGUGAAGAGGCUGUCCAAGAAGUCUGGGCAGGGCUCGAGGGAGUUCAAGAAUGAGGUGGAGCUGAUAUCAAAACUCCAACACAGGAACUUGGUUAGGCUUUUGGGUUGCUGCGUUCAUGGAGAUGAAAAGCUUCUCAUCUACGAGUUCAUGCCCAACAAGAGCUUGGAUGCCUUCCUCUUCGGUCAGUUGAUUUGUCGAGGGGCAACACAUAAUACUACCUCAAUUUGAUGACUAGAAAUGCUUGAUCGAUGAGCAUUUGCAUCCGUAGGAAACUAAUCUUUAGAUACUGAUCGACAUGUUACGUAGAUGCAUCCAAGAGCAGGCUUUUAGACUGGACCAAGCGUUUCAAUAUCAUCGAAGGGAUUGCCCGAGGAUUGCUCUACCUGCACCGAGAUUGUAGAUUGAAGAUUAUGCAUCGAGACCUGAAAGCAAGCAACGUUCUGCUGGACCAGAAUUUUAACCCCAAGAUAUCAGAUUUCGGCAUGGCACGCAUACUCCAUGAUGACCAGAUUCUAGCAAGAACUGAUAGAGUAGUUGGAACAAUGUAAGUCUGCAAAACCAUUCUUGAUUACAACCAUGUGAAGCAAAGAACACCAAUUGAUCGUGUGCCGAAAACAGUUUAAUUGUCAUGAUUGAAACUGAUGUUACGAUCCAAAAUACUUAUGCCUAGAUCAAGCCUCUAUAAAUCAGUUUAAGUAAGAUUAGCCUAGUAUGUCUCUAUGUGACUCUAGUUCCAUUGAUGCCUAUUCCGGCUCGAUAUUAUGUCGGUUCUAAUAUGCCCAAAAUUCUUAAUUCCAAUCUAUCACAUCUCCGACUUGAGUUCUUGACUAAAGGGGUGUUACAUGAAUGCAGUGGCUACAUGUCCCCGGAGUAUGCAAUGGAAGGGCAAAUUUCCGAGAAAUCUGAUGUUUUCAGUUUUGGUGUCCUGCUUUUGGAGGUGGUCAGUGGCAAGAGGAACAACUACUUCCUUGAUGAAGAUCUAGCUCUGAACCUUCUAGGCUAUGUAAGUACAUAUGCAAUUCUUCUCUUCAUCUAGUUUUACUUGUUGAUCAUUGAAAUUUAUGUGAUCGAACUGCACCCGAGAGUGCAGGCUUGGACAUUAUGGAAGGAGAACAGAGUGGUGGAGUUGAUAGAUCCAUCAUUAGGAGACUCAUGGAGCCAAGAGGAAGUGAUGAGAUGCAUCAAACUGGGACUUCUAUGUGUGCAAGAACUACCAGUAGAUAGGCCAACCAUGUCAGUCGUUGUCGCAGUGCUCAAUGGUGACAUUAAUCUUCCCGAGCCGAAGCAGGUUGCAUUCUUUGCAGGGAGAAGCCCCACGACGUCCAUUUCAUCCAUGGAUGACAGCAAGCGGAUAUCCUCUCAGGGUGAUCUUUCGAUCGUCCAGUUGUGAGCUGUUCUUGUGAUGCUGGGAAGAUGCAGCUGCUCAGUGUUGCAUUGUAAUCCAAUUAUAUCGCCAUUAAGAUGUUUGCUGUCACAUAGAAGUAGAGGUGUUGCCAUAUGAUGAAUGAAGUGGAGGGUGUAAAAUCCAAAAACAUGUUGAGCCUCAAGAUUAAUACAUGAGUUUUCUUGUUCUACUGUGGUUUUUUUUUUUUUUUGAAGGAAAAAGAUUAGAUCAAAUCAUCAAAUAUUCGAAUAGGACGUAUGAAGGAGAAUUGCCUCUUCCAAAAAUACUAGCAAGUUAUUGUCUUACGAAGAUUGUUGACAUGGAUGAAGAUUCAAUCGAUAACAAGUUAUGUUUUUGAGGAUCCAAGGGAUGUAACAUUUCAUUAAGAUUGACUUAUAGAGAUAUGAUGAAGGAGCAAUCUAACUAUCUCGAUUACCUGCUUAUAUAGAUUUAAGCAUCGGAGUGGAGACUGUGAGAAGAAGAACAUGGCUGGCUCGAAAGGAUUUGUGGAAGCUGGGGAGUGUGAUCAAGGUUUGGAACUUCCAUUGAUGAAGUCUGAGGACAUACUGUUUGCCACCAACAGCUUCUCUGAUUCAAAUAAGCUUGGAAAAGGAGGGCUCGGCAUAGAUUACAAGGUGAAGCAUGAGACCUGAAUCCAUAGAAAUAUCUUAAACAUCAAACUUGAUUUGCAUGUUUCGAUUGUUUAAUAUGAAUCACACGCAAAUGGGAACAGUUGUUUUCACCCUAUCAAAAACAAACACAUGCAUGAAGAUCAUGAUUGGUAUCUAAUCAUUAUUUGUGUCUGUUCAUUGUCCUGUUUCUGAUUAGCUUUCGUGCUCGCCUUUGUAUGAUCUAAUGUAACACCCUGAUCAGUUCAUGAAAGAAACUGUUCAUCAGAUGUGUUGCAUGUUACUAAGACAGCAUCAUGUUCUCAGGGUAAGCUUCCUGGGGUACAAGAAAUUGCUGUCGAAAGACUUGUUAGUGGAAGAUCCAGGCAAGGUGUAGUAAUGGAGUUCAAGACAGGUCGUUCUGAUCGCCAAGCUACAGCACAGGAACUUGGUUGCUGCAUCCAUGGCGAAGAGAAGCUCCUUGUCUAUGAGUACAUGCCCAACAAAAGCUUGGACUUCUUCCUCUUUGGUCUGUUCCUUAAGAUGGCUCACUCUCUCGAUCAUUCUUGACAGAUCCAACACAGAAGACAAAGCUUGACUGGGGCAGGCGAUUCAGCAUAAUCAAGGGGAUUGCUCGAGCACUUCUCUACCUUCACCGGGAUUCAAGGCUCAGGAUAAUUCACCGAGAUCUUAAGGAGCUUCUUUUACCGUAUAAAUAAAUGUCAAUUUCCGAUUCCAUUAUCAUAUGAACAUCAACAUGAGGAGGAAGAGGAAGAGGGAAACAAAUCGAAUAGUGAGAACUAGCUCAUGAAUCAAGCGGCGAAGGCAUGGUGGUCCAUCAGGUCGGGGCUGAGGCGGACCAUGAGGACGCAGAACUCCCACUGGCUGAGCGCGCCAUCGCCGUCGGAGUCGCCCUCGCGCAGCAUGGCGCGGAGGUCGUCGUCCCCCAGGGCGCCCAGGCCCAGCAGCGCGGCGUUGCGCUUGAGGCUGUCGAAGGUGAUGAGCCCCCGGCGAGGGUCCAUGAGUAGGCGAAAGCCGUUGGAGAGCUCCUCCAUGAGGCCUUCCUCGCCCAGCUUCUCCACCAUGAGGGGGAGGAAGUCCUCGAACUCCACUGGUUGCCGCCGCGCCGCCAUGGGAGAUGGAUUCAAUCGAUCGAUCGAAAGCACACCGAAGGGCAGAGAAGAAGAGGAAGACGAGGUGGGGGUC
RNAcentral lists this long non-coding RNA (9942 nucleotides) under Musa acuminata (dwarf banana). RNAcentral's name for it is "long non-coding RNA (MACU_LNC001499)". The record is from RNAcentral. Lineage: Eukaryota; Viridiplantae; Streptophyta; Magnoliopsida; Zingiberales; Musaceae.